AAUGAUGUGACUCUAUUUCACGUACAACCAGAGAAUUGAAAAAUUCUGCUCCAUUUAUGUACAAUGCAUCGAAGAGCUUUCUACUGUCAUGUAUAACUGAUUAGAACUAAUUUUUGAAAAAAGAAAAAAGAAAAUGAUUUAGGAUGAAGUGAAAAAGUACCUGCAGGUGAUCAGGGAAGGCCUCUCUGAGGAGGUGAUACCAGCUGAGGUCAAACAGAGCAGACCCUCUCAAGAUUCGGGAGUUCACAUUGACAUGGCAGGCGCCAGGGAGGUGCAGGAGUCAGCCCUGCAAGGUCAAUGCAUUAAGGCCCACCCUCUGGUUAAGAUCUGAGACAGCUAGAACUGGAAAGGUUCUUAGCUUCUGUGAAGAAGGGUUGUGAACUCCAGUGCCCACCAAGGCCAAGUGGAGAAGUCUCCCGGGAAGCCCUGGGGUUUGGCCCCAGCUCCAGCAACUGGAGUUAAGCUGGAGUAUAAGCCUCUUGGUGCCCAGUUGCGGAGGUGGUUUUCAAGGUUUUUUAUGGUUUACUUUUGUUUUGCUUUUAUGUUGCUAUCUGUAGUUUGCUCAGAGAUCUGGAUUUUUAUGUAAUGUGUCCCAUUGUUUAGAUCUGGCCGUUUACACUAAGCACAGUGUCAUGCGCCUAUAAUCCCAGCAAUUUGGGAGGCUGAAGCAGAAGGAUGGCAAGUUCAAAGCCAGCCUGAAUAACCUGGCAAGAUCCUGUCUCAAAAUUUUAAAAGGGCUGGAAUGUAGUUCAGUGGGAAAAUGCCCCUGGGAUUAACCCCCAGUAUAGCCAAAAAAAAGAAGAAGAAGGUUGUGAACUGUAUCAACAGUGUGAUUGGGAGUGUGGUUCAGGCAGAGCAAUUGCUUGCCAUGACUGAGGUCUUGGGUUCUAUCAUCAGCGUCACCAAAAAAAAAACGAUUCACAAAGAUUAGAAAAAUUGUCAUAGGUAGAAAUCAGGUUUAUGUUUUCACUGGGUGCUGCUGUCACAUUGUAUGAGCACAGUGCCUAGCAUAACUGUGUGUUGAAGAUUCAUAUGGAAAAGUUCACCUACAGAAGCACAAAGGCCAAUGUGUUGUUCCCAGUGGAGUAGAGCCUGUGGGUGCACUCAGGGUAAGCCAUGGCUCUCCUGCUUCCAGGAUGACAACCAUCCUGUUAACUCUUUAACAUGGUUUGGUUUUACAUAUGUUUUGUGCUAUUUAUAUUUUUUAAAGCAUGCUCUGUUUACUCUUUGUGUCUGGUUUCUCUUAUUAUAUAUUACAUUUUUAGAUCAUCCCUAUUAUCUCAUGGAGCUGUAGGAGAUGCAUUCUCGGGGCGUGUGU
RNAcentral lists this long non-coding RNA (1318 nucleotides) under Marmota monax (woodchuck). The record is from RNAcentral. Lineage: Eukaryota; Metazoa; Chordata; Mammalia; Rodentia; Sciuridae.